Non-coding RNA from Heterocephalus glaber (naked mole-rat), 509 nucleotides. The record is from RefSeq and is a predicted model, not a curated record. NCBI's taxonomy places the organism in Eukaryota, Metazoa, Chordata, Mammalia, Rodentia, Bathyergidae.
UUGUCAUUCUCCCUAUCUCUCUUCUUUUACAAUUUGUUUCUUUUCAGCUUUCCCCACCUCUUUUCUCCUCUUGCCUCUUUCUCCUUCCCACGUCUGGGUUCCUCAGGUCUCUGUUACAUCCUCGGUUUGAAGGGCUGUGGUUCAGGAGCUCUGCCAUUCCCAUGGGACUACGCAGGGAACGAGUGGAACAACUAAUCAAAUUCCAGAAGUUGAGGACAGCUGGAAGCAGAGCUUAAGCAAAGGUCACCGAGAAUGGGCUAGCUGUCUUUUAUGACACUGAAAAGGCCUUCAUGUCUAAAUGAAUGAGUUCUGGAAUUGCUCCCAUGAAGAAUGGCUAACCAAUUUGUCUCAACUGGCACUUGAAUGCGAAAUUACAAAUGAAGGUCUUCUGGACUGCACUGUGGUCCUUGGAAGAGCACUGGAUGAUUUAUUCUCACUCAUUUUCUCCACUUUCCAUGCUAAAAUAUUUUUACUUGGUCAAUAAAUUAUGGAGGCUGACAUUAACAAGA